CCUGAACGCUGGCGGCGUGGCUAAGACAUGCAAGUCGCAACGGGGGUCGCAAGACCCAGUGGCGGACGGGUGAGUAAUUUAUCGCUAAUGUACCCUAGAGCCAGGGAUAGCUGCCCGAAAGGGCAGGUAAUACCUGAUCGAUAUAACUUUAUCGGCAUGAUAAGGUUCUCAAAGCAGCAAUGCACUCUUGGAGCAGGCGAUAUCGUAUCAGCUAG
This 215-nucleotide ribosomal RNA is filed under the name uncultured bacterium. RNAcentral describes it as "partial 16S ribosomal RNA". It matches the Rfam family "Bacterial small subunit ribosomal RNA", at positions 30 to 248 of the family's 1533-position model. The record is from RNAcentral.